This 494-nucleotide ribosomal RNA is filed under the name uncultured bacterium. RNAcentral describes it as "bacterial SSU rRNA". It matches the Rfam family "Bacterial small subunit ribosomal RNA", at positions 1 to 518 of the family's 1533-position model. The record is from RNAcentral.
AGAAUUGAUCUGGUCAGGAUUAACGCUGGCGGCGUGCCUAAUACAUGCAAGUCGAAUGGUAGUAGCAAUACAAACCAUGGCGAACGGGUGAGUAACACGUAGGCAACCUGACUUUAAGACGAGGAUAACCGUUGGAAACGACGGAUAAUACUGGAUAGGACAUCAGAAAGGGCAUCCUUAGAUGUUUAAAGGUUAUUAUGCCACUUAGAGAGGGGCCUGCGGCGCAUUAGCUAGUUGGUGAGAUAACAGCCCACCAAGGCGAUGAUGCGUAGCCGGACUGAGAGGUUGAACGGCCACAAUGGAACUGAGAACGGUCCAUACUCCUACGGGAGGCAGCAGUAGGGAAUUUUCGGCAAUGGGCGCAAGCCCUGACCGAGCAACGCCGCGUGAACGAAGAAGUUUAUUCGUAAUGUAAAGUUCUUUUAUCUGGGAAGAAAAAACAAAUUGACGGUACCAGAUGAAUAAGCUCCGGCUAACUACGUGCCAGCCGCCGC